Molecule: ribosomal RNA, 253 nt
Filed under: uncultured bacterium
Lineage: Bacteria
Description: partial 16S ribosomal RNA
Rfam family: Bacterial small subunit ribosomal RNA
Source: RNAcentral
UACAUGUGGGGCAAGCGUUGUUCGGAAUUACUGGGCAUAAAGCGCGCGUAGGCGGACCUGCAAGUCGGGGGUGAAAGCCCGAGGCUCAACCUCGGAACUGCCUUCGAUACUGCGGGUCUCGAGUCCGGGAGAGGUGAGUGGAAUUCCUAGUGUAGAGGUGAAAUUCGUAGAUAUUAGGAAGAACACCAGUGGCGAAGGCGGCUCACUGGCCCGGUACUGACGCUGAGGCGCGAAAGCGUGGGGAGCAAACAGG